AGUGAACGCUGGCGGUAGGCCUAACACAUGCCAGUCGAACGGCAGCACAGUAAGAGCUUGCUCUUACGGGUGGCGAGUGGCGGACGGGUGAGGAAUACAUCGGAAUCUACUUUUUCGUGGGGGAUAACGCAGGGAAACUUACGCUAAUACCGCAUACGACCUACGGGUGAAAGCAGGGGAUCUUCGGACCUUGCGCGAUUGAAUGAGCCGAUGUCGGAUUAGCUAGUUGGCGGGGUAAAGGCCCACCAAGGCGACGAUCCGUAGCUGGACUGAGAGGAUGAUCAGCCACACUGGAACUGAGACACGGACAAGACUCCUACGGGAGGCAGCAGUGGGGAAUAUUGGACAAUGGGCGCAAGCCUGAUCCAGCCAUACCGCGUGGGUGAAGAAGGCCUUCGGGUUGUAAAGCCCUUUUGUUGGGAAAGAAAAGCAGCAGGUUAAGACCCCGCUGUUCUGACGGUACCCAAAGAAUAAGCACCGGCUAACUUCGUG
RNAcentral lists this ribosomal RNA (492 nucleotides) under uncultured bacterium. RNAcentral's name for it is "partial 16S ribosomal RNA". It matches the Rfam family "Bacterial small subunit ribosomal RNA", at positions 29 to 507 of the family's 1533-position model. The record is from RNAcentral.